CACCGGAUUAUCGCGGACAGGGGGAGGGGACGCGGCGCAGGAGAAUUGCCCCAUAGAAUAGGCAGGAAUCCUGGCUGCUCGGGAAGGCAAAGUUUAUUGAAGAACUUGAAAAUUCCUCUUUGAAGCAUCUUCUGAAAUACCGGAGAAGACAUGAAAAGGGUAAUGACUCAGAAUAUGGGCUUAGUGCACAAAUCCCCGCGCUGACGGACUCCAGGCCUGCAGACGCUUAAGCACAUGCUUAAAUUUAAGCUCAGGCAUAAGUGUUUGUAGGAUUGGAGCCCAGAUUUUUAUUGCGACGAGGCUCCUCUCUGCAGUGAUGGGAAAUACAAGACUUAGGAAGCGCACGAGCUUCCAGCACGACGCAGUGCACAGAGCGCCCACUUCAAGCCAGGGGACACCCAAAUCUGUCUCUGCAUGGGGACACCAACACGUGGGUGGUGAAGAGCAGUGCAGGCAGGAAAGGCGCAGGGACAGCAUAGAGCAACUCAGUGCCACACAGCUCCUCUCCAGGUGCUCUUUGCAUAAACGUACACCUGCUUUUCCUGCACAAUAAGGCUUCCCUCCUGUGAGAUCCUCCCUGCUCCUUCUCUGUCCCUGAACAUGUUCUGCAAGGCAAAAUCGCUUUUUUUCCUCCUCCUUUUUCCCAUUUACAUAAGACAGCUGCCCAAUGGGCAGUAGCACCUGUCCCCAUGCUCAGAUCUAGAUCACUGUUUUUCAGUUAUCUUUAGGGCUGGAUGGAUUUGUGUGCGUGGGAUACGGGUGCUUGGUGGGGCUGACCCUCACCAUAAGAGGGUGCAAGACCCAUGGUGCUGCUGCCCCCACGGACUCCCAUUGCAUCUCCCAGAUCCAGAGAUGUAAAGGCAAGGGUGCCCAUAGCAGCCACGUUCACUGUUGGGUUUGGUACCGCUGUUGGCUGCCACUGGAGGGCAUUAUAUGAUACGGGCACAGUAUUAUGUGCCCACUUUGUACCUCCCCCAAAGGCAGGCAGGUGCAUGGGGUGUGGGAAGAACACAUUUCCUUCUCCACCUUUCCAUCCAAAUGCCCGUGCUAGGGGGUGUUUGUGACAGCAACCAUGGGGAGGGGACAGCCCAGUGGUGGCUCUGGAGCACUUGCUGCGAUACCUCAGCGCAUCGCCAGCCCCUCACAACGUGCCUGUGCAGCAGCCCAGAGCGAGCUGGAGGAUUUUCUCCAAAGCCAGAGGUUAAUUAUCCUUUAUUGGAUAAUUUUCAGCUGCCAGUCCUGGCGAUGAAGGGGAUUUCCUCUAGAUGGCACGCUUAUCUCUGCACAGCGAGCGGUGCUGGCAGCCCGCAGCCUGCAAUGCAGUGGGGUCCUGAGCCUGCGGUUGGUCCUGGGGACAAAGAGCAUUAAGCCCUCAUCCCACUCCCAUCCCCAGCUGCAGCCCAGCCGCUGCCCUGCUGGACCCAAGCGAUGUAUUUUCAGUGGGUUAUUUUACCCCGAUGUUUUUUGCCCUCUUAUAAUGCAAUUGGAAGUUGGCAUCUAGGCUGUGGGUUAGGGGGAUGCGGUUGGCUGGGCGAUGCUGAGCAGAAAUCAGGUCUUUCCGAGCAAUGUAAAGCCAGAUGUGAAGCAUCAGCCUUCCUUCAGCAGCCCUCAGUGCAGCUUCUGCAUGCUGACAGCUUUCCCUCUCUCAUCCUCUGUUCAGCUUAGGACAGUAAUUUCUUUUGGUGGUGUAAAGGAGAGCAUAGGGGGUAUUCACAAUGAUCAGGAGCUGCCAGGGAUGAAUUUCUUGUGUGUUCCUUUUACCUAUUGUGCACCUAUUUUAUAGAAACGGAGGACUGCCCCCUGCAGUGCCAGACUGUGGGGUGACACUGUGACGUGGUGGGGACACAGUGGGGCAUUGGCACCCACAGCUGCAUGCUGGAGCAGUGCAGCUGAGAUUGCCCACCGUGCAGCUUCAGCCCUGGGCUGUUCCCGUGCUUCAUGCCUCGGUAUUUUCACUUGUCUGCAUCUGAUGAAAUAUCCACCGUCUGCACCACCUCUUCUCUGCCUGGCUGUCCUUUGCUGGAUAAGGGGAUGGGGUUAAGAUACUGGGAUCUGCUGCUCUGCAUGGCCUUUGGUGAGAUGCUUCACCUCCCUGUGCAGACUUCAGCCUCUUUCCCUGUUUAUUCAGCUCCUUCCCAGCAUGGAAAUAGAGGAAAUCGAACCUGUGCGGUAGCAGCGUUACAGUUGCCAGCCGACAUCAUCUUAUCUGAAGCCAAGAGGCAAAACGUAUCUACAAACUCAUUUGCGGGCAGAUCUGUAGAUAUCAGUGCGGAUGUGCAGGAUUGAUCUUGGGCAAGAUUCAUCCCAACCUCAUCUCUAUAUGAGGGCUGCUGGGUACUCCCACGUACAAAGAACACCCAGAAAGAAGGAAUAAUAAUAAUAAUAAUAAUAAUAAUUUUCCUGGGCACGUUUGGGAUGACAAAAUGCUAACAUGGAAACCUGGACUACAGGACCCCAUCACAGGUUGCUACAGCCACGUGAAUCUGGCCAGAUAGUCUUGCACUGGUGUGCCCACUUUUGGGAAACGUGAUUCCCUCCCAUAUGGAUCCCCACCCCCCAAAAAAUCCUCCCUACUAUUUCCAGGGGAUUGAGAGAAGAAUGAAAUGAUUUAGCAGGCUUGUUUUCACAGGGAUAUUUUUCCUUGUGCGGUAGGCACCGUCACCAGGCUGUUCUGUGCGUGCUGCCAUGUGCCAGAGCAUAAUUGCCUUCCACAUGCAUCAGCCUUUGGCUAAUGUGUUUUUUAUGGCAACCAGGAGAGCUGGAUUUGGUGAGUCUCAAAAGCGCACCUGGUGCUUUAUGGCUCGAAAUCACUGCGCUCCUCUGAGUCAUGUAAGUGUGUGUAUCCAUCCCUUUUCAUGUUGGAUUGCUGAAGAACAGUAUGCAAAGAAAAGCUCACACCGAGCCAGAGUUGAUCGGUUGGGUGUUAUGAGCUUGCCUGGUGGGCUUCAGGUCCGUGUGGGAUGGGAUCAGUAAUGAAAAGAGAGCAGCAGACAAAGCUGUUGAGCUCUAAGCCCAAAGCCGAGGUCCUAAGCUCAGAUCCCAGCACAUAGUAAAGGUGUGUGAACAUCUGAGCUCUGCAGGGAUGGACCGAAGCAUUUGGCAUCAGUGCUCCCCCAAGUGGGAAUUGGGGGCGUUUGGCAUCACCUGGCACCGCCAUUCCCACCCAUCUCCUGGGUGCUGGGAGCUGCUGGGGAGUGGCUGCCACCGUGCCUCGGCAAUAUGGGGCUGGGAAUAACGGCUGUGCUGCAGGGAGCAGCGAAGGUCUGAGCCUUGGCUACGGAAAGGAGAGAAAUAAUAUCAAAGGAAAUCACAUAAGUGGAAAAAGAGCUCCCUGGGGAAGCCCGGGCAGGAGCAGGUCUGUCCUGUUCGUGUUUUGAGAGAAGCUAGAGGUCAGCCAAGCCUGAUAACGAGGUAAUACAGAAAAAAAUCCAUCGCUGAGCCUUGGGGGACGUGGAGAUGCGCUUCACGUCAAAAUAAACGAAUUUGGAUGCUGCCCGGCCGAGGGAACAACAACGAUUAAGUCGUGCAGAACCAACAGCCCGUCCGGGAGGACCCGAAGCCCCGCAGCGCCCACGGCAGCAGGACGGGGAUGCGGGGCCCGAUGCUGCCCUUCCCAUGCGGAGUUUAGGAUCGGGGCUUCGCUUCGUUAAAUCCCAUUAUCGGGGGCCGGUCCGGCCGGGACGGGGACUUCUCGCGGCCGCACUGGUGUAUUUGUCUCCCUGCACCCGGCAAAUAGAGGGGGGGGAAGGCAAGGAACGAGCUUUGCCUCGGAGACGCUGCGGGGAGCCACCUGCCCACGAGGGCUGCGUUAGGGCAGGCAGUGAAAGUCCACGAAGAGGAGAAAAUAAACGCUGUUCGGCGCGUUUCGGCUGUUCCUAUUCCCCUAUUGAGACUUACGGACCGGCCAGCUUUCGGCCCCAGGCGCUUCCGAUAGCACAGUUUAACGUGAGAUGUGAGGGAAUUGGGAUUAAAACAGGAGACGGGAAGGGCCGUCCGUCACGAAAUAUUUGGGAGGGGAGCGCAGAAAACGUUAAUAAUCUACCGAAGGAAAAGAAGCCGUAAGGCAUAAGGCAUCCCUCCCACCGCUGCACGCGUGGGGACCGUGCGGUGCUGACGACCUUUUGGGGUCGAUCCAUAGGGUCGCUGUUUAGGGAGACUGCAGCCGGCUCAAGGAGCGCCCAUAGGGCCGAUGUGCGGCCGCGUGUGUGUGCCCGGGAUCCCAGCGGCUGCUUCAUACGAGCCCAGGCUUUCCCUUUCCUAAUUUCGGGACGGCUGCGUUUUAGGUAGUUUUUCUCGUUUUCGUUUGGUUUCCGCGGCCGAUGCUGCGUGACAAAAGCGAAGCGAAUAGCGGCUCUGCCGACAGAAGCCGCGCACAGAUGGAGG
RNAcentral lists this long non-coding RNA (4383 nucleotides) under Gallus gallus (chicken). Its description in RNAcentral is "lncRNA (ENSGALG00010026959.1)". The record is from RNAcentral. Lineage: Eukaryota; Metazoa; Chordata; Aves; Galliformes; Phasianidae.